This 208-nucleotide ribosomal RNA is filed under the name uncultured bacterium. RNAcentral describes it as "partial 16S ribosomal RNA". It matches the Rfam family "Bacterial small subunit ribosomal RNA", at positions 568 to 774 of the family's 1533-position model. The record is from RNAcentral.
CUCGUAGGCGGUUCGUCGCGUCCGGUGUGAAAGUCCAUCGCUUAACGGUGGAUCCGCGCCGGGUACGGGCGGGCUUGAGUGCGGUAGGGGAGACUGGAAUUCCCGGUGUAACGGUGGAAUGUGUAGAUAUCGGGAAGAACACCAAUGGCGAAGGCAGGUCUCUGGGCCCGUUACUGACGCUGAGGAGCGAAAGCGUGGGGAGCGAACA